GAUUAAGCCAUGCAUGUGUAAGUAUAAAUAGUUAACUUUGAAACUGCGAAUGGCUCAUUAUAUCAGUUAUAGUUUAUUUGAUGAAGAAUACUAAUUGGAUAACCGUAGUAAUUCUAGAGCUAAUACAUGUAUAAAGUCUUGUAGACUGCAUUUAUUAGAAUGAAAACCAUAGGUUUCGGCCUAUUCGUGAGUAAUAAUAACUAAUCAUAUCGUAUGCUUAUGUAACGAUGUGUCUUUCAAGUUUCUGCCCUAUCAGCUUUCGAUGGUAGUGUAUGGGCCUACCAUG
Molecule: ribosomal RNA, 286 nt
Filed under: Blastocystis sp.
Lineage: Eukaryota; Bigyra; Opalinata; Blastocystidae
Description: partial small subunit ribosomal RNA
Rfam family: Eukaryotic small subunit ribosomal RNA
Source: RNAcentral